GCCACUGUUAAUGAAUAGAAAGGAGGAGCAGGACUUAUGAUAGACUCCAGACAGAAAGUACCGAUAAAUCAAGGACAGGGAGAGCAACCACUUCACUCUCUAACCCGGCUUGUUUCUCUUCAAAACCGUACUCCAAAAAUUUCAUCUUGGGCUUUAUUUGUACACAAAGAAUCGUAAACAACAGAACCUCUGUUCACUGUCUCUCCUCUUUCUUUCUUGCUUUCUUUUUUGAAAAACAAGAACCAAAUCCCUCCCAUGGACACCUAUGAAGCAACAAGCAUACUGUUGUCAAAGAUCAACAAUAUAGACCCAGAAAACGCUUCCAAAAUCAUGGGUUACAUUCUCUUACAAGACCUUACUGACAAAGAUUUGUUAUCUUUAGCUUUUGCCUCGCAAACCCUUUUGCAAAAUGUUAUUGUCAAAGCCAAAACUCACUUGGGACUUCCGACGAACGCCUUAUCCACACCGUCAGCGCCAUCAUCUCCUUUGCAUCUCAAUCCUAUAUCAAGGCCUAGCAACAACCAUAACCCAUUUUCACAAUAUUCUGCUAAAGCUAAUUCUCUUAUUGAUUUUGCAAAAAACCCAUCUCCACAUGCAUGGCAUGCUUCAAGCUUGACAAACCAGUGUGCCGCCGCCUCUAUUAGCCCAAAGUCAAGCCCCUUUUUGUCUUACGAUAGUAUACGUGCUGGUUUUGAUUUGGUGGGUAAUGGGAGCGGGGACACUAGUAGUAACAGUACCAAUUUACUUAAUGAGAAUCAAUCAGAUGAAUAUUUUUCGUUCCUUGAUGAUUUCUCUCCACAAAAUGAGGAAUUUGUGGACCCAAGGUUUCAGUUGUGUGGUUUAACUAUGAAUAAUGUGGAUAACCAUUUGCGUAGGAGGAGAUUCUCAGAGAGUGAUGUGUGCUUUGGUAUUGAAGAUGGCGUUUUUGGAAUUGGCCAUAGACCAUGUAUGUAUUUUGCUAAAGGGUUCUGUAAGAAUGGGGAUAAUUGCAAGUUUGUUCAUGCUAGCUUUGAUGGUGAUAAUAUUUCUGAGUUUAGUGAUGGCGGAGCCAUUGGGAGUUCACUUGGGGAAACGAAUGGUCUUUAUUUGCAACAAUAUGAAGAAAUGAUGAGAAUCAAGGCUGCACAACAACAGCAAAGUUUGUCUUACAGCAAGUACAUGAAUUUCCUGUUGCAGCAACAGAGUGAUCCCCAUAGAAUGGCGGCAGCAUCAGUGAUGAUGGGUGAUGAAUUUCACAAGUUUGGACAGUUCUGUUCUGAAAGGAAUGACCUUUUGGCCAUGGCAAUGGAGGAAAAGGCAAACUCGGCUUCUAGGCAGAUCUACUUGACAUUCCCAGCUGACAGCACUUUCAAAGAUGAAGAUGUAUCAAAUUAUUUUAGGUAAACUACUGCAGUUUUAAAUUUUUGGUUCAUUUAUUUGGCUGCACAAUUGGUGCUGAGAGAUUAAGGUUAGAUGCUGAUUAGGCUACAUGUAAUGAAGUAAAAUGUUUAAAAUAGGUUCUGUACAAAUAUAGUGUGACUGUUGUGAAAAUUUGUGCAAUUAAAGUUUAGAAUAUUGGCAGCUUGUAUGCUGCCAGUUGUCUUGAAGAAGGGUUUGAAUGUCCUUCAUUGCCUUCAUGGCAUCUCUGCAUUCCUUUGACUACUGAUAGUGAAAGGCUGGAGGCCAAUGGAACUUUAACCUGCAAUUUUGGCCAUUUCCACUGAAAUUAGGUUUUUGCUCGCAAAAGUUUAAAAUAGUGGUUUCAAGGAACUUCUGUCAGUUGACCUGGUGGGCAUUGGCACGGGGGACUUUAGAUGUGUUCUGGUGGCUGGUUUGUCUGAAAAACAAAACUAUUAAUCUUAUGGAAGAGAGAAAAUUAAAUCCACAUCUCAUGCUGCCGAUUGCAAUAAUUUUAUAUGAAUAUUGCAGAUAUUAACCUAAGCUGUGGGCCUUUGGAGUAUGGAGGAAUGGGAUAUUCAGUGAGUUUAACUGUUUUUGAGAAAGAAAAGACUGAACAUAGUGAGAAUAUUAUUGUUUGAUCUGUUAAAGGGCUCUCUGCUUUAGGAAUCCUUGAAAGCUUGACUUUGGGAAGGGCCAUAGAAAUAUGAUGUCAUAUCUUAUAUCAUUCUUAUGCACAGAGUUCACUGUUUGAGUAAUAUAAUUAAGACAAUUACAAUGUGUUUUGAAGUGCAUUUGGAACAGUUCAAGAUGUCAGGAUUCCAUAUCAGCAGAAGCGAAUGUUUGGAUUUGUUACAUUUGUCCAUCCAGAGACGGUGAAGCUUAUAUUGUCUAGGGGGAACCCUCAUUUUAUUUGUUAUUCACGUGUGCUUGUUAAGCCAUAUAAGGAAAAAGGAAAAAUUGCAAACAAGAGGCAACAGCUAAUGGAUAGGGGGGAUUUUUCACCCUGUUCUAGCCCUUCUGGGCUUGACUCUAGAGAGCUAUGUGAUCUUCACCUUGGAGCGAGAAUGCUCUACAAUACACAGGAGAUGAAGCUGAGAAGAAAGCUGGAGCAGCAGGCUCAGCUUCAACAAGCAAUUGAACUCCAAGAGAGACGGUUGAUUAAUCUGCAACUUCCAGGCGUGAGGGGGGAUUAUAUUCACCCUCAACAGAGAAGCCUGUCUGCUGGUGCACUAAUUACUCUACCCCCUCAUGCGUCUGUUAAUAAUCUUACUUCCGAUGUCAAAAAUCAGGACGUCUUAGAUGGUGGGCUAAUCAAUGACAAGGGUGAUAGCUCAGCCACUGACAUUGGCUGUACUAUUGUUGUUGCUGAACAGCACCUUCAGGAUGAAGUAAGUACAGCAUGCGUUCAGAAGAAAGAUACUGCCAAUGGUGAGGAGAGACUCAAUCCUGAAGGAUGUGAUACCAAUGAAUGUUGUGGGACUGUUAUAGAGCAUGGUCUUCCUGAUAGCCCCUUUGCUUCAACUGCAAAAUCAUUGGGGAAUCAAGAUGAAUUCUCCCCUCCUUUGACAGAAGUUAAAGAAAGCAUCGAGUUCACUGGCACUUCAUCUUCCGAAAUUACUGCAUCAGUGCCCACAACUUCUACUAGUGAUGUGGCUUCUCAUUGAUAAUGUGAAAUGCUAAGGUGCAUUCUUGCCUUAAUUUGCUGUUUUUCUAUAGUUCUAUCCUCUUACACAUCCAGUGCCAGGUUGUUAAUUCUGAUUCGACAGUACUUUGUUUCUGAUAUAUUAUUCUCUCUUUGUUGGACAUGAAGCUAGUCAUUUAGGUAAUAAAGAUUAGCAUGAACAGAUCAGCUUUGCUGGGGUAAGAGAUCAUUGCUCUUCUUGAUCUUUAAUUGGAGUAGACCUACAAUUGUCAAAUCAAAUAAUUUUGUUAUGGUGUUGGGCUGUUGCAGAAAAAUAGAGGACAUACAAAGGUGGUCCUGUAGAUGUAUAGCAAAAUUAUACCUGCAUCAAAUGGUAGAUCUGUAGAGAAUAUCUCAGCAAGAUUGCCAUCAUCAUCAUGAUCAUCAAUACGAUACUACUAACAGCAAAAGCAUAUUACAUACAUGAUGGACAGAUGAACUAAUUUGAGUAGGGUUUUCUCUUUGUUACUUUUUGCUCAUUUUUAGGUUGUGUUGUGGACCACAGACUGAAAUGGAACUAAAGAAUAGGACUCUUAUUACAAUGUCAAGUGUACAUCUUUGCAAUAUUUACCAUCCUUCUCUUAUAAGAUAUCGUAUUACACUUUAGUAGAAGUCAAGUAUUACCAUACUGGUCGGCUCAGGCUUAGC
Molecule: unclassified non-coding RNA, 3709 nt
Filed under: Hevea brasiliensis (rubber tree)
Lineage: Eukaryota; Viridiplantae; Streptophyta; Magnoliopsida; Malpighiales; Euphorbiaceae
Source: RNAcentral